This 856-nucleotide long non-coding RNA is filed under the name Malus domestica (apple). RNAcentral's name for it is "long non-coding RNA (MDOM_LNC020868)". Lineage: Eukaryota; Viridiplantae; Streptophyta; Magnoliopsida; Rosales; Rosaceae. The record is from RNAcentral.
UCGAUGCUGCCUUGUCAGACAUGGGAAGUAAUCAUUCAUUUCAUAAAAGGUAAAUACUAUCUAAUUAUUUUGUGAUAGAUCAAGAACGUUGAAUGUUCUUAGGGUGUGUUUGUUUGCAUUCACUAGCAUUCAUUAAACUGGACUAGACUAAGUGGGAGUCUAGUCUCGUGUUUGAUACAAAUUGGGACAAGUUUAAUAAUGACACUCGCCCCGACUAAACGGGACUAAGUAGUUCGCUAGGGGUUUUAGCGAGACCCCUCAAAAUUGACCGGACUGCUAAGCCCAACUCCUCCUGCUUCGUUCCUCCUUGCUUCGCCCUCCCAUCAACUUGUUGCUCGCAAGAUGUGGAACCCAGGUCCCAUAUACAAACUCUGCCUUGCUUCGCCCCUAUCAUCUACCAUUUUCAAAUCCAGAUCCCACAAAAUUGGAAACAAAAGGCAAAAAUUUCUGCAAUAUUUCCAUUUUCAAAACUAGAUCCAAAUCCAAAAUUCAUAACAAAAAAGCGAAAAAAAAAAUACAAAAUCAUUGUGCAUCUGAAACACUUAGCAGCUCUGCUCACACACUCCACCUAGUCCAGACUCCCUGAUCGCAGACCUUUGCUAUUGACGCUGGAGAAGCAGACCCAUGAAUACCCAGAUGACCCAGACUCUGAAUGGGUUCUGAUUUGCCAAUUGGGUCCUAGAAAAAAUAGGAAGAAAAGAGGGAGAUGAGCAGAGAGAAAUAGGAAGAAAAAGAUGGAGAUGAAGAGAGAGAGAGAGGGGCGAAGAAGAAAGAGGAAGAAACAGAGGGAGAGGGACGGAGCAAACUUGGAAAGAAAUGAGGAGAUUAGCGGAAAAGAAUCAGGAAUGGGGAUGGG